UAACCAGAAAGCCACGGCUAACUACGUGCCAGCAGCCGCGGUAAUACGUAGGUGGCAAGCGUUGUCCGGAUUUAUUGGGCGUAAAGCGAGCGCAGGCGGUUUUGUAAGUCUGCUGUGAAAGCCCUCAGCUCAACUGAGGAAGUGCAGUGGAAACUACAAAACUUGAGUACAGAAGAGGAAAGUGGAACUCCAUGUGUAGCGGUGAAAUGCGUAGAUAUAUGGAAGAACACCAGUGGCGAAGGCGGCUUUCUGGUCUGUUACUGACGCUGAGGCUCGAAAGCAUGGGUAGCGAACAGGAUUAGAUACCCUGGUAGUCCAUGCCGUAAACGAUGAAUACUAGGUGUUGGAGGGUUUCCGCCCUUCAGUGCCGCAGCUAACGCAUUAAGUAUUCCGCCUGGGGAGUACGACCGCAAGGUUGAAACUCAAAGGAAUUGACGGGGGCCCGCACAAGUGGUGGAGCAUGUGGUUUAAUUCGAUGCUACGCGAAGAACCUUACCAGCUCUUGACAUCUUCUGCCAACCCAAGAGAUUGGGCGUUCCCUUCGGGGACAGAAUGACAGGUGGUGCAUGGUUGUCGUCAGCUCGUGUCGUGAGAUGUUGGGUUAAGUCCCGCAACGAGCGCAACCCUUAUUAUUAGUUGCCAGCAUUUAGUUGGGCACUCUAGUGAGACUGCCGGUGAUAAACCGGAGGAAGGUGGGGACGACGUCAAAUCAUCAUGCCCCUUAUGAGCUGGGCUACACACGUGCUACAAUGGAUGGUACAACGAGUCGCGAAACCGCGAGGUCAAGCUAAUCUCUUAAAGCCAUUCUCAGUUCGGAUUGCAGGCUGCAACUCGCCUGCAUGAAGUUGGAAUCACUAGUAAUCGUGGAUCAGCAUGCCACGGUGAAUACGUUCCCGGGCCUUGUACACACCGCCCGUCACACCAUGAGAGUUUGUAACACCCAAAAGACGAUGGGGUAACCUUUUAGGAGCUAGUCGUCUAAGGUGGGACAGAUGAUUAGGGGUGAAGUCGUACA
RNAcentral lists this ribosomal RNA (1015 nucleotides) under Apilactobacillus kunkeei. RNAcentral's name for it is "bacterial SSU rRNA". It matches the Rfam family "Bacterial small subunit ribosomal RNA", at positions 480 to 1493 of the family's 1533-position model. The record is from RNAcentral. Lineage: Bacteria; Bacillati; Bacillota; Bacilli; Lactobacillales; Lactobacillaceae.